This 323-nucleotide unclassified non-coding RNA is filed under the name soil metagenome. RNAcentral's name for it is "partial contains 5.8S ribosomal RNA, internal transcribed spacer 2, and large subunit ribosomal RNA". The stretch from base 1 to 120 matches the Rfam family "5.8S ribosomal RNA", at positions 35 to 154 of the family's 154-position model. The record is from RNAcentral.
GAUGAAGAACGCAGCGAAAUGCGAUAAGUAAUGUGAAUUGCAGAAUUCAGUGAAUCAUCGAAUCUUUGAACGCACAUUGCGCCCCCUGGUAUUCCGGGGGGCAUGCCUGUUCGAGCGUCAUUUCAACCUUCAAGCUCUGCUUGGUGUUGGGCCCUGCCCGCUGCGGCCGGCCCUAAAGACAGUGGCGGUGCCGCCUGGCCCUGAGCGUAGUACAUCUCUCGCUCCAGUGCCCGGUGGUAGCCUGCCAGAACCCCCACUCUCGUGGUUGACCUCGGAUCAGGUAGGGAUACCCGCUGAACUUAAGCAUAUCAAUAAGCGGAGGA